UGUCUUUUUCUCCCUCUAGAUGAUGAGAAUUUCACGGGGAAAUAUUUCCACUUGAUUGAUCCUGAUGUGGUCGAGGACCAACAGCAGGACCUGGAGAGGAAGAAGUUAAAAGUGAAGGAGGUUCACCUCACCAAGCUGCUCUCCACGAAGGUAAGUGACCGUCGCUUAGACUGGGGCAAAUAAUCACCUGAUCCCGGCCGAGUGAAAAAGUCGCCCAGUUAUAGAUGAUGACAGACAGAAUAUUAGUGAAAAAUCAAU
This is a long non-coding RNA of Cynoglossus semilaevis (tongue sole), 258 nucleotides long. RefSeq lists it as uncharacterized. The record is from RefSeq and is a predicted model, not a curated record. The transcript has 2 exons. NCBI's taxonomy places the organism in Eukaryota, Metazoa, Chordata, Actinopteri, Pleuronectiformes, Cynoglossidae.